UCAUUCAUACAAUAGUUACAUACUGCACUAUUAAUACCUAGUCCCACAUGUCAUAGACACACUGCGUCUUAAAAUCUAUGUAGCCCGCUGCUCUUCUCUCUCCUGAUUUAUCUCUUUAAAAUAUAUUUGCAGCUGGUUUAUAGCCUGCUAUUGUACAUGCUCUUAUGGGUACCCAAUUGAAGUGAUGAUGCGGUAGAGCGACGAUAAUGACGUGGUGGGGCAUGCGAGUCUCACACGGACCGAUCGGAAUUCUGGGUCAAACCGAGUCGCCUUUUUGUAAGUCAAACGCGUCCACGUCAACCAGCGCGUGGUGCAGUGUACCGUACGGUGGCAGUUACUGCCAUUGUCUCCCAGCUUGACGUCAUUGCUCUCAGCCGGUUUGCAACUUCUUUUUUUCCUUUCCAGUGUAAAAGAAAACCCCUUCACACCAAAAUUGAAAGUUUGGUUGAAAUUGGAACGAUGUGACGGAAAAACAGAAAGUUUGUGUGUGUAGGAAAGUUUUGAUGUGAUGGCAAAGUUGGAAAUUUGAAGAAAAAGUUUGGAACUAAACCCAGCCUAUAUAUAUAUAUAUAUAUAUAUAUAUAUAUAUAUAUAUAUAUAUAUAUAUAUAUAUAUAUAUAUAUAUAUAUAUAUAUAUAUAUAUAUGGUACUUUCUCCGUUUUAUAUUAUAAGACUUUCUAGUAUUGUCCACAUUCAUAUAUAUGUUAAUGAAUCUAGAUAUAUAUGUGUGCGUCUAGAAGAUCUAUAUAAAUAUGUGCAAUGCUAGAAAGUCUUAUAACCUGAAACGGAGGUAGCAGUACUCUCUUAAUUUUGUUGACACACGACACACUAAAAAAAACUCAAAUAGUAGAAAAUGAACACAUUUCUGAAAAUCACUGUAGAUUAUAUUCAUAGUGAAAAUAUCAUUAUACAAUUGAAUCGGCUUCAUGCACAUCCGCGCCAUAGGGACUCGGGACGAUCGGAUCUGCACCCUAGGAUCCCACAGCGCUGGAUUUGGCCAUCACCUUGCCCAGCGUCGCCUCGCAAUCGUCUUUGCGUGCGAUCGUCGUCAUUGUGGACAGCGCUCUCCGCAUGCACAUGUGGACGACAUUGGCAAGGAGUGUCAUCGGCGGUGUGGGAGGAGGAGAGGCCGAGAAGAGAUGGGAGGAGGAGAGGUUGAGGAUAAGAGGCAAGUGCAC
This 1178-nucleotide long non-coding RNA is filed under the name Oryza sativa (Asian cultivated rice). Its description in RNAcentral is "long non-coding RNA (OSAT_LNC000103)". The record is from RNAcentral. Lineage: Eukaryota; Viridiplantae; Streptophyta; Magnoliopsida; Poales; Poaceae.